Eurytemora carolleeae is the source of this 819-nucleotide long non-coding RNA. RefSeq lists it as uncharacterized. The transcript is spliced from 3 exons. The record is from RefSeq and is a predicted model, not a curated record. NCBI's taxonomy places the organism in Eukaryota, Metazoa, Arthropoda, Copepoda, Calanoida, Temoridae.
CAUAAAUAAUUUGAUUAAAUUCGUGAUUUGGUUCUGAAUAAUAAUAUUCUCUGAUAUUUUUUACAUAUUCUGUUUGUUUAUUUACUAUUUGUUUAUAACUUUAAACCAGUUUGCACUAAAAUCCGUGCAGUACCCUUAAUCAUCUGGUUUCACGAUCAGAGGCCGGUCCUUCUAUAGAUAGUCGUACUUAGGAGGACGAUAAUUUGGCCGCUAGAUGUCUCCCGUGAGUUAUUCAUGGACGGACAGAGUUUCUCACGCCAUAAGUUGGAUUUAGUGCGUGAAAUCGGCGGAUCUGAGGUCGAAUUUUAUAUUAAAAGGCUUUAUUUACAAGUGAAAUCUGUUGUGUUUCUUAGCCUAGUUUAAACAGUGGAAUAGUUAUUAACCCAUUGAUUCCAAUAGCGUCGUUUUUUGAUCUGUUUAAAACUUUUAAAUUUGGAAAGAAUUUCUUGUUCUUUUUAUCUUGUUUCUAUACUCUUAUUAAACUUUAUGUUUUCUUAUUCUUAUUAAACUAAAUUCUUAUUUGAGCAGUGCAUCUUAUUGGGUUAUAUUUUUGUUCUUGCACUUAAUGUACUUUUGAUUUAGCAAGUGUUUGUGUUUGUUCAUUGUGGUUUAUAUCGGUUCAGCAGUAUCCUCAAGCAAACUUAUUGCUUAUCCUUAAGCAAACUUAAUGCUCAAGACCCUGCUGGAUCUACCCUAACGCUGCUCAACCCCGAUCAGCGAAACAAUUUUUGAAACCGCUGUGCUGUUAUCAAUCUGUGACCUGAACGGGACCCUUUCUAAGAAGAUUGUAUUUAUUAAUAAAGAUUUAUGUUACUCAGA